This 155-nucleotide ribosomal RNA is filed under the name uncultured fungus. RNAcentral describes it as "5.8S ribosomal RNA". It matches the Rfam family "5.8S ribosomal RNA". Rfam says of the family: 5.8S ribosomal RNA (5.8S rRNA) is a component of the large subunit of the eukaryotic ribosome. It is transcribed by RNA polymerase I as part of the 45S precursor that also contains 18S and 28S rRNA. Lineage: Eukaryota; Fungi. The record is from RNAcentral.
CAACUUUUAACAAUGGAUCUCUUGGCUCUUGCCCCGAUGAAGAACGCAGUCAAGUGCGAAAUGUAAUGCGAUUUGCAUGAAUCUGUGAGUCAUCUAAUCUUUGAACGCAACUUGCGCCAUCCAGAGAUGGAUGGCAUGUCUGUUUGAGUACGACC